RNAcentral lists this transfer RNA (71 nucleotides) under Loxodonta africana (African savanna elephant). It matches the Rfam family "tRNA". Rfam says of the family: Transfer RNA (tRNA) molecules are approximately 80 nucleotides in length. Their secondary structure includes four short double-helical elements and three loops (D, anti-codon, and T loops). The record is from Rfam by way of RNAcentral. Lineage: Eukaryota; Metazoa; Chordata; Mammalia; Proboscidea; Elephantidae.
GCAGUGGUGGGUCAGUGGGCAAACUCUCAUCUUUCACAUGGGAGACCCAGGUUUGAGUCCCGGCCGAUGCG